Molecule: ribosomal RNA, 253 nt
Filed under: uncultured bacterium
Lineage: Bacteria
Description: partial 16S ribosomal RNA
Rfam family: Bacterial small subunit ribosomal RNA
Source: RNAcentral
UACGUAGGGCGCAAGCGUUGUCCGGAAUUAUUGGGCGUAAAGAGCUCGUAGGCGGCCUGUUGCGUCCGCUGUGAAAUCCCGGGGCUUAACCCCGGGCUUGCAGUGGAUACGGGCAGGCUGGAGGCAGGCAGGGGAGAACGGAAUUCCGCGUGUAGCAGUGAAAUGCGUAGAUAUGCGGAGGAACACCGAUGGCGAAGGCAAUCCCCUGGGCCUGUACUGACGCUCAUGCACGAAAGCGUGGGGAGCAAACAGG